CUCGAUAACCGGCGCAGUGGCUCUGGUCUGAGCUCGAAGGCUCAUCGGGGAGCAGCAAUCAACUCCAAGGCUCCAGCGUGAAGCAGAGCACCGCAAAGGCCGUAACGCCGAGGAGAAGCUCAAAGAACGAAACUUGUGAUUGCCAAACGUGACUGAAGAAGAAGAAUGUGAAGCAAACAAAGUCCGAGGGGAGGGUCUAGAAAGAGAAGGCGAAAGAGAGGAGAGAGAGGAGGAGAUUCUAGAAACGAAGCGUGAACUGCUAAGCAUUGAAGGAGGAGGAGAAGUGGUUAUGUACAUAGUGAGACUAUGGCGGAAAACACAGAAACUGUGGUUUUAGAAGCUGCGAGAUAGAGACAGAAAGACACAACGACAGAGAGAGCUUCCGCGCAUAGGAAAUGGAAGCUUUGCUGGUGCAGUGUUCUAUGUGGAGUUUAUAAUGGAGAGAGAAAGAGUGGGGUUUUAUGUUGGCCGUUGGAUGGGGUUUUGAUUGGCGGAUCGGACGGUGUGGCGGAGGGUUUAAGACUUUGUUCCGAAAUUUUUUUAAGUGCGCUGGUGGAGUAUACAAGAAUUUGCCACAGUUGCAAUUGGCGUGGUUAACACUUGCAUGAAUUGCAUCACUGAGGAAGGGGAUAUAUGCGCGCAAGGGGAUAGCCAGAAAUGAUAGGGACUAGGGAUCAGGGAGCUCA
RNAcentral lists this unclassified non-coding RNA (686 nucleotides) under Hevea brasiliensis (rubber tree). Lineage: Eukaryota; Viridiplantae; Streptophyta; Magnoliopsida; Malpighiales; Euphorbiaceae. The record is from RNAcentral.